This 77-nucleotide small nucleolar RNA is filed under the name Cinara cedri. The record is from RNAcentral. Lineage: Eukaryota; Metazoa; Arthropoda; Insecta; Hemiptera; Aphididae.
UCUAUGUGAUGAUUAUUUAAACACCAUCUUUCGACUGAAAGUUAUGAUUUUACAAACUUUAUUUACUGAUGAUGACA